CCCUUAGAUGUUCUGGGCUGCACGCGUGCUACAAUGGCGUUUCCAGCAAGUCUGCGAACCCGAGAGGGCCAGCGGAUCUUCGAAUUGGCGUCGUGAUCGGGACAGUCGAUUGCAAUUAUUUGACUCAAACGAGGAAUUCCUUGUAAUCGCGAUUCAUCAUAUCGCGCUGAAUACGUCCCUGCCCUUUGUACACACCGCCCGUCGCUCCUACCGAUUGAGCGAUCCGGUAAAUGUGUUGGAUUGGUGCCGGGGCGGCUAGCUGCCGGUCGCUACGAAAUUUUGUGAACCUUAUCGCUUAGAGGAAGGAAAAGUCGUAACA
Molecule: ribosomal RNA, 319 nt
Filed under: uncultured eukaryote
Lineage: Eukaryota
Description: partial 18S ribosomal RNA
Rfam family: Eukaryotic small subunit ribosomal RNA
Source: RNAcentral